RNAcentral lists this ribosomal RNA (253 nucleotides) under uncultured bacterium. RNAcentral describes it as "partial 16S ribosomal RNA". It matches the Rfam family "Bacterial small subunit ribosomal RNA", at positions 524 to 776 of the family's 1533-position model. The record is from RNAcentral.
UACGUAGGGGGCUAGCGUUGUCCGGAAUGACUGGGCGUAAAGAGCGUGUAGGCGGCUCUUUAAGUCCUGCGUGAAAUCCUGCGGCUCAACCGCAGACGGUCGUGGGAAACUGGAUGGCUAGAGUGCGGGAGAGGAGAGUGGAAUUCCCGGUGUAGCGGUGAAAUGCGCAGAUAUCGGGAAGAACACCCGUGGCGAAGGCGGCUCUCUGGAACGCAACUGACGCUGAGACGCGAAAGCGUGGGGAGCAAACAGG